GAUGAACGCUGGCGGCGUGCCUAACACAUGCAAGUCGAGCGAUUCUCUUCGGAGAAGAGCGGCGGACGGGUGAGUAACGCGUGGGUAACCUGCCCUGUACACACGGAUAACAUACCGAAAGGUAUGCUAAUACGAGAUAAUAUGCUCUUAUCGCAUGGUAGAAGUAUCAAAGCUCCGGCGGUACAGGAUGGACCCGCGUCUGAUUAGCUAGUUGGUAAGGUAACGGCUUACCAAGGCGACGAUCAGUAGCCGACCUGAGAGGGUGAUCGGCCACAUUGGAACUGAGACGCGGUCCAAACUCCUGCGGAAGGCAGCAGUGGGGAAUAUUGCACAAUGGGCGAAAGCCUGAUGCAGCAACGCCGCGUGAUCGAUGAAGGCCUUCGGGUCGUAAAGCUCUGUCCUCAAGGAAGAUAAUGACGGUGCUUGAGGAGGAAGCCCCGGCUAACUACGUGCCAGCCGCCGCCGUAA
RNAcentral lists this ribosomal RNA (468 nucleotides) under uncultured bacterium. RNAcentral's name for it is "partial 16S ribosomal RNA". It matches the Rfam family "Bacterial small subunit ribosomal RNA", at positions 28 to 523 of the family's 1533-position model. The record is from RNAcentral.